ACGGGUGAGUAACGCGUGGGAAUCUACCGUGCCCUGCGGAAUAGCUCCGGGAAACUGGAAUUAAAACCGCAUACGCCCUACGGGGGAAAGAUUUAUCGGGGUAUGAUGAGCCCGCGUUGGAUUAGCUAGUUGGUGGGGUAAAGGCCUACCAAGGCGACGAUCCAUAGCUGGUCUGAGAGGAUGAUCAGCCACAUUGGGACUGAGACACGGCCCAAACUCCUACGGGAGGCAGCAGUGGGGAAUAUUGGACAAUGGGCGCAAGCCUGAUCCAGCCAUGCCGCGUGCGUGAUGAAGGCCUUAGGGUUGUAAAGCUCUUUCACCGGAGAAGAUAAUGACGGUAUCCGGAGAAGAAGCCCCGGCUAACUUCGUGCCAGCAGCCGCGGUAAUACGAAGGGGGCUAGCGUUGUUCGGAAUUACUGGGCGUAAAGCGCACGUAGGCGGAUAUUUAAGUCAGGGGUGAAAUCCCAGAGCUCAACUCUGGAACUGCCUUUGAUACUGGGUAUCUUGAGUAUGGAAGAGGUAAGUGGAAUUGCGAGUGUAGAGGUGAAAUUCGUAGA
RNAcentral lists this ribosomal RNA (557 nucleotides) under uncultured bacterium. RNAcentral's name for it is "bacterial SSU rRNA". It matches the Rfam family "Bacterial small subunit ribosomal RNA", at positions 102 to 694 of the family's 1533-position model. The record is from RNAcentral.